This 84-nucleotide transfer RNA is filed under the name Sphingomonas brevis. Its description in RNAcentral is "tRNA-Ser". The record is from RNAcentral. Lineage: Bacteria; Pseudomonadati; Pseudomonadota; Alphaproteobacteria; Sphingomonadales; Sphingomonadaceae.
GGCUUACGACCGAUCACAGGCAAGCACCUAUUUAUCGGCCCUUUCACGGCUGAAACACGGGUUCGAUUCCCGUAGGGGUCACCA